AUGUUUCCAAGUAGCAGAGUACAUAAUCUUUCAAAUUAUAGACAAGGAUAUACAAGAAACACUGACCUAGGUACUUUGUAUUUUCUUCUAGCUGGUGCUCAAAAGCUAAUACGUACCUGGGGUUGCCAGAUACGUUUUCAAUUUCAUUCCAUGGUGGACAUCAGUGGAGCUGGAGAAAGUGAGCAUGUAACGAUAUCACUAUAUCAGUACAAUGGCGCAGAGCCAAAUCAGAACACAGGAAAGUGGUCAUUUCUCAGUUAUGAACUUAUGAUUGAUCACAGUAAGUUAGAAAACGUAAAAUGCAGCAAUUCAGAACUAAGAGGCACAACAUAA
Molecule: ribosomal RNA, 333 nt
Filed under: Triticum aestivum (bread wheat)
Lineage: Eukaryota; Viridiplantae; Streptophyta; Magnoliopsida; Poales; Poaceae
Description: partial small subunit ribosomal RNA
Source: RNAcentral